Molecule: long non-coding RNA, 1678 nt
Organism: Eriocheir sinensis (Chinese mitten crab)
Lineage: Eukaryota; Metazoa; Arthropoda; Malacostraca; Decapoda; Varunidae
Exons: 5
Source: RefSeq, a predicted model, not a curated record
GGAGGGCUCCAGGCAGGGCUCCUCGGCGUCCCUCCGGGCCCCGACGGAGGUGCCGGAGAUCUUCCGGCUACAAACCCGGGCAGGUGGAGCUCGUUAGCCGUGGUAGGCAAUCUGCCUAGGAGAGCAAACUCUAUACAAACCCGGGCAGGUGAGGCUCGUUAGCCGUGGAAGGCAAUUCACCUAGGAGAGCAAACUCUAUACAAACCCGGGCAGGUGAGGCUCGUAAGCCGUGGAAGGCAAUUCACCUAGGAGAGCAAACUCUAAACAAACCCGGGCAGGUGGAGGUCGUUAGCCGUGGUAGGCAAUUCACCUAGGAGAGCAAACUCUAAACAAACCCGGGCAGGUGGAGGUCGUUAGCCGUGGUAGGCAAUUCACCUAGGAGAGCAAACUCUAAACAAACCCGGGCAGGUGGAGGUCGUUAGCCGUGGUAGGCAAUUCACCUAGGAGAGCAAACUCUAAACAAACCCGGGCAGGUGGAGGUCGUUAGCCGUGGUAGGCAAUUCACCUAGGAGAGCAAACUCUAUACAAACCCGGGCAGGUGGAGGUCGUCAGCCGUGGGAGGCAAUUCACCUAGGAGAGCAAACUCUAAACAAACCCGGGCAGGUGGAGGUCGUUAGCCGUGGGAGGCAAUUCACCUAGGAGAGCAAACUCCGAACAACAAACCCGGGCAGGUGGAGCUCGUCAGCCGUGGUAGGCAAUCUGCCUAGGAGAGCAAACUCCGAACAACAAACCCGGGCAGGUGGAGCUCGUCAGCCGUGGUAGGCAAUCUGCCUAGGAGAGCAAACUCCGAACAACAAACCCGGGCAGGUGGAGCUCGUCAGCCGUGGUAGGCAAUCUGCCUAGGAGAGCAAACUCCGAACAAUAAACCCGGGCAGGUGGAGGUCGUCAGCCGUGGUAGGCAGUCUGCCUAGGAGAGCAAACUCUAAAUAAACCCGGGCUUGUGGUGCUCGUUAUACUGUCGUAGACAAUCCACGCGAUGGGAACACCAAAGAAAAGGAAAAUAAAAAAAGAACACCAGAAAAAUGGAAAAUACAGAAACGAAACAUCAAGAAAAGAAACAAAAAGAUCAUCCACCUUUAGGCCCUAACAUCGCCAAAAUUAUGGGUGGGUCUCUUCUGGGGAGAAAGCGGCUCACCCAGACCAAAGAACAUCAACAAAAGGAUGAUAUGAAUAAAUGAACAUAAAAAAAACAAAGAAAAACACAUCAAGGAAAGAAAAAUAUAACAAACAUCAUCCACCUUCCGGCCCUGACUAACAUCACCAAAAUUAUGGGUGGGUCUCUUCUGGGGAGAAAGCGGCUCACCCAGACCAAAGAACAUCAACAAGGGAUGAUAUAGAAAAGAACACCCAAAAAAUAUGGAAAAAGAACAGAAAAAAUAUCGAAAAAGAAAAGCAACAGAAAUAAAUGAACAACAUCAAGAAAAGAGAAAUACAAAGAAACAUCAUCCACCUUUCGGCCCCAAACAACAUCACCAAAAUUAUGGAUGGGUCUCUUCUGGGAGGAAAGCGGCUCAUCCAGACCAAGGAACAUCAACAAAAGGAUGAUGGGAAAAAAAUAACAACAAAAAACAUCAAAAAGAAGUAAAAAGAAAAAGAACAGGAAAACAUCGAAAAAGAAAACAAAAGCAAUAAAAAGAACGAAAAAAACGACAUCAAGAAAAUAAAAUAAAACAAACAU